RNAcentral lists this ribosomal RNA (818 nucleotides) under uncultured Bacillota bacterium. RNAcentral describes it as "bacterial SSU rRNA". It matches the Rfam family "Bacterial small subunit ribosomal RNA", at positions 58 to 908 of the family's 1533-position model. The record is from RNAcentral. Lineage: Bacteria; Bacillati; Bacillota.
CAAGUCGAACGAGAAAGCGGGGGCAACCUCGUGAGUAAAGUGGCGUACGGGUGAGUAACACGUGGGUAAUCUACCUCUAGUGGGGAAUAACGCUGGGAAACCGGCGCUAAUACCGCAUAAGCUCGAGAGAGGAAAGCAGCAAUGCGCUGAGAGAGGAGCCCGCGGUCGAUUAGCUAGUUGGUGAGGUAAGAGCUCACCAAGGCAAAGAUCGAUAGCCGGCCUGAGAGGGCACACGGCCACACUGGCACUGGGACACGGGCCAGACUCCUACGGGAGGCAGCAGUGGGGAAUCUUGCACAAUGGGGGCAACCCUGAUGCAGCGACGCCGCGUGAGCGAUGAAGCCCUUCGGGGUGUAAAGCUCUUUCGGCAGGGACGAUAAUGACGGUACCUGCAGAAGCAGCUGCGGCUAACUACGUGCCAGCAGCCGCGGUAAUACGUAGGCAGCGAGCGUUGUUCGGAGUUACUGGGCGUAAAGGGUGUGUAGGCGGUUCUUUAAGUUUGGUGUGAAAUCUCCCGGCUCAACCGGGAGGGUGCGCCGAAUACUGAGGGACUAGAGUAUGGGAUGGGAAAGUGGAAUUCCUGGUGUAGCGGUGAAAUGCGUAGAUAUCAGGAGGAACACCUGUGGUGUAGACGGCUUUCUGGACCAUAACUGACGCUGAGACACGAAAGCGUGGGUAGCAAACAGGAUUAGAUACCCUGGUAGUCCACGCCCUAAACGAUGCAUAUUUGGUAUGGGUGGUUCAUUCUAUCCGUGCCGGAGCUAACGCGUUAAAUAUGCCGCCUGGGGAGUACAGUCGCAAGGCUGAAACUCAAAGGA